This 556-nucleotide ribosomal RNA is filed under the name uncultured bacterium. RNAcentral describes it as "bacterial SSU rRNA". It matches the Rfam family "Bacterial small subunit ribosomal RNA", at positions 55 to 604 of the family's 1533-position model. The record is from RNAcentral.
AUGCAAGUCGAGGGGUAACGGAAGUAGCUUGCUACUAGACGACGACCGGCGCACGGGUGAGUAACGCGUAUGUAAUCUGCCUUGUACAGAGGGAUAGCCCAGAGAAAUCUGGAUUAAUACCUCAUAGUAUUACUGGAUCGCAUGAUUUGGUAAUUAAAGCUCCGGCGGUACAAGAUGAACAUGCGUGACAUUAGCUAGUUGGUAAGGUAACGGCUUACCAAGGCUACGAUGUCUAGGGGUUCUGAGAGGAUGAUCCCCCACACUGGUACUGAGACACGGACCAGACUCCUACGGGAGGCAGCAGUGAGGAAUAUUGGUCAAUGGACGCAAGUCUGAACCAGCCAUCCCGCGUGAAGGAUGACUGCCCUAUGGGUUGUAAACUUCUUUUAUAUGCAAAUAAACCUACUUUCGUGAAAGUAGCUGAAGGUAGCAUAUGAAUAAACACCGGCUAACUCCGUGCCAGCAGCCGCGGUAAUACGGAGGGUGUAAGCGUUAUCCGGAUUUAUUGGGUUUAAAGGGUACGUANGCGGUAAUAUAAGUCAGUGGUGAAAUCCUG